RNAcentral lists this ribosomal RNA (403 nucleotides) under uncultured bacterium. RNAcentral describes it as "bacterial SSU rRNA". It matches the Rfam family "Bacterial small subunit ribosomal RNA", at positions 355 to 774 of the family's 1533-position model. The record is from RNAcentral.
UAGGGAAUUUUGCGCAAUGGGGGAAACCCUGACGCAGCAACACCGCGUGAAUGAUUAAGCCCUUCGGGGUGUAAAGUUCUGUCAGUGGGGACGAAACUUGACGGUACCCACAAAGGAAGCACCGGCUAACUCCGUGCCAGCAGCCGCGGUAAUACGGAGGGUGCAAGCGUUGUCCGGAAUCAUUGGGCGUAAAGCGUUCGUAGGCGGUAUAUCAAGUCCGGUGUCAAAGCCCAAAGCUCAACUUUGGAUCCGCACUGGAUACUGGUAAACUAGAAUGUGGUAGAGGUAAAGGGAAUUCCUGGUGUAGCGGUGAAAUGCGUAGAUAUCGAGAAGAACACUCGUGGCGAAGGCGGGUUCCUGGACAUGUACUGACGCUGAGGUACGAAGGCCAGGGUAGCGAAAG